GCGUCUUUGGAGUGUGAUUGGUCCAUAGAGAUCGGUUUCGUCUAGAAGGGUUACAGCUUUUGUCAAAAUGGACUUUUCAUAGCAGGUUUAAGAAAACUGGCAUAGCAGGUGUGCUGGAGUCAGAGCAGAUCCCUACCAGCUGCAAAUCGUCCCAUAAAUCAAGACCUCUACAUAUACUCAUCCCUGCCACCUCCAUUCUGCCAGAUCUUACCUCUCUGUCUCCUGUUCCACAUCUCACCACCAACCACCUUGCUCUGGAUAUCACUCACCACCAUUACCUUGGAUUCCCCUCUGGACCGGUUCCCCUGUUCUACUCAGCCAACUCCAACCUCACUCUACACUCCUGGUUUUUGCAACUCACCUGAGCUACCCCAGUUCUGCACUUCCCAUUUCUCUGUGCUCAAUAAACCUUUUUGUGCAUUCAUCCCGGCUUCCUCUUCUGAGUCCGCUCUUGGGCCCCCCCAACCCCCUUCAUUACGCACACCUGUCACCAUCAUUACGCACAUCAACGCUCAUUGGACUCACCUGGAUUCCUUCACAUUUUGAUUGUCUUCCCUAUAUCUGUCUGUUUCCUCUUCAUCCCUGUGUCAACAUUAUUGCGGUUUCCGUUUCCCCUGUCCAGACGCCUGUCCGUUUUCUGUCUCUGUCCUGUCCGUGGUUAUUUAAUGUUCACUCCCUGUACCUGCUCCAGCAUCGAUCCUUACACAGAGCCAGUUUUAGAAAUGUUUCCAAAUGAAUCAAAAAUGAAAAGCUGAAAUGUCUUGUUAAUUAGUAUUCAACAUGUUAAGAUAAGUUGAGGAGUAAAAAUUGUACUAGUCACAAUAAGUUGCAUGGACUCACUCCGUGUGCAAUCCCCCAUUUCUGUAAGGUCCCUCAGUCAAGCAGUGAUUUAACCAACAAAGACCAGAGGUUUCCGAUCGUUCGCAAAGAAGGGAACCUAUUGGGCAUCAACGGACAUUGAAUAUCCCUUUUGAGCAUGGUGCAGUUAUUAAUUUAACACUUUAGAUGGUGUAUCAAUACACCCAGUCAAUUGUGAUUUUAAAAGAGU
Long non-coding RNA from Oncorhynchus gorbuscha (pink salmon), 1048 nucleotides. RefSeq lists it as uncharacterized. The record is from RefSeq and is a predicted model, not a curated record. The transcript is spliced from 3 exons. NCBI's taxonomy places the organism in Eukaryota, Metazoa, Chordata, Actinopteri, Salmoniformes, Salmonidae.